GACGAACGCUGGCGGCGUGCCUAAUACAUGCAAGUCGAACGCAGUUGCGAACGGGUGAGUAACGCGUAGGAAACCUGCCUCAUAGCGGGGGAUAACUAUUGGAAACGAUAGCUAAUACCGCAUACUGUGAGAUGGACCUGCGUUGUAUUAGCUAGUUGGUGAGGUAAAGGCUCACCAAGGCGACGAUACAUAGCAGACAUGAGAGGGUGAUAGGCCGCACGGGGACUGAGACACGGCCCAGACUCCUACGGGAGGCAGCAGUAGGGAAUAGUGCGCAAUGGGCGCAAGCCUGAUGCAGCCAUGCCGCGUGUAUGAAGAAGGCGUUCGGGUUGUAAAGUACUUUCAGCGGGGAGGCGUUACCCGCAGAAGAAGCACCGGCUAACUCCGUGCCAGCCGCCGCGGUAAUAC
This 408-nucleotide ribosomal RNA is filed under the name uncultured bacterium. Its description in RNAcentral is "partial 16S ribosomal RNA". It matches the Rfam family "Bacterial small subunit ribosomal RNA", at positions 28 to 526 of the family's 1533-position model. The record is from RNAcentral.